RNAcentral lists this ribosomal RNA (306 nucleotides) under Staphylococcus aureus. RNAcentral's name for it is "bacterial SSU rRNA". It matches the Rfam family "Bacterial small subunit ribosomal RNA", at positions 504 to 809 of the family's 1533-position model. Lineage: Bacteria; Bacillati; Bacillota; Bacilli; Caryophanales; Staphylococcaceae. The record is from RNAcentral.
CGUGCCAGCAGCCGCGGUAAUACGUAGGUGGCAAGCGUUAUCCGGAAUUAUUGGGCGUAAAGCGCGCGUAGGCGGUUUUUUAAGUCUGAUGUGAAAGCCCACGGCUCAACCGUGGAGGGUCAUUGGAAACUGGAAAACUUGAGUGCAGAAGAGGAAAGUGGAAUUCCAUGUGUAGCGGUGAAAUGCGCAGAGAUAUGGAGGAACACCAGUGGCGAAGGCGACUUUCUGGUCUGUAACUGACGCUGAUGUGCGAAAGCGUGGGGAUCAAACAGGAUUAGAUACCCUGGUAGUCCACGCCGUAAACGA